This 253-nucleotide ribosomal RNA is filed under the name Flintibacter butyricus. RNAcentral's name for it is "partial 16S ribosomal RNA". It matches the Rfam family "Bacterial small subunit ribosomal RNA", at positions 524 to 776 of the family's 1533-position model. The record is from RNAcentral. Lineage: Bacteria; Bacillati; Bacillota; Clostridia; Eubacteriales.
UACGUAGGUGGCAAGCGUUGUCCGGAUUUACUGGGUGUAAAGGGCGUGUAGGCGGGACGGCAAGUCAGGCGUGAAAACCAUGGGCUCAACCCAUGGCCUGCGUUUGAAACUGCUGUUCUUGAGUACUGGAGAGGUUGGCGGAAUUCCUAGUGUAGCGGUGAAAUGCGUAGAUAUUAGGAGGAACACCAGUGGCGAAGGCGGCCAACUGGACAGCAACUGACGCUGAGGCGCGAAAGCGUGGGGAGCAAACAGG